GUGGCUGUCUGCUACUACAUCCACAGUUACUACAGCUUCUGGCUAACUAGGUGUAGGAAAUCAAGUAAAAUGUCAGAUGUAGUGAUUUUCUAUUCUUUAUUGUUUCAAAUCAUUUACAUUAUAAGAGUGGCCAGCAUCAAGUCCAGGCAUAUCCCUAUGGACAAGAACCAGCAUCACUUCCUACUUUACUACGACUGUACCAUACAAAUGAAAUAAAUAGCAGCAUUACUGUCA
Frankliniella occidentalis (western flower thrips) is the source of this 234-nucleotide long non-coding RNA. RefSeq lists it as uncharacterized. Lineage: Eukaryota; Metazoa; Arthropoda; Insecta; Thysanoptera; Thripidae. The transcript is spliced from 2 exons. The record is from RefSeq and is a predicted model, not a curated record.